Long non-coding RNA from Musa acuminata subsp. malaccensis (wild Malaysian banana), 447 nucleotides. RefSeq lists it as uncharacterized. The record is from RefSeq and is a predicted model, not a curated record. Lineage: Eukaryota; Viridiplantae; Streptophyta; Magnoliopsida; Zingiberales; Musaceae.
CGAAUCCCCUCUCCCUCUCAGGCUAUAAAUUGGCCCUCCCCCAAGGUAUCAAGCAAUUCCCGCGAUCGAGCGCGUCUCCUCUUUAGCCAUUUUUAGCGUUCUGGACUUCCCCUAGGGUUUCCUUCUUCCACCCUCCUCUUCAGAAGGGUGAUCUAGAUCCAGGAGCACUUCGAGAAUUUUUAUCAGGGUGUUUUUGAGGAGCUAAGCAAGUUCAGAAAAAUUGAAAGCCUAAAUGUUUGUGACAAUCUGGCUGAUCAUUUGGUUGGUAAUGUAUAUGCUAAAUUCAGGGAUGAGGAUGAUGCUGCAAAUAUACUAGUCAACCUGAAAGGAAGAUAUUAUGACGGUGGUUUAAUAUUUAGGUGUUUUAUCUCAUGCUUAAUGCAUUUUGUCUCUUGUUUGUUAGUCUAUUACUUGUAUAUCAUAUAAUCUUUUUUCCUUUUUCUCAAA